GACGAACGCUGGCGGCGUGCUUAACACAUGCAAGUCGAACGGUGAAGCGCCUUCCUUUUUGGUGGGUGUGGAUGAGUGGCGAACGGGUGAGUAACACGUGAGUAACCUGCCCCCUUCUUCUGGAUAACCGCAUGAAAGUGUGGCUAAUACGGGAUAUUCUGGGUCUGUCGCAUGAUGGGUCUGGGAAAGAUAUUGUUUCGGUGGGGGAUGGGCUCGCGGCCUAUCAGCUUGUUGGUGGGGUGAUGGCCUACCAAGGCGGUGACGGGUAGCCGGCCUGAGAGGGUGGACGGUCACACUAGGACUGAGACACGGCCCAGACUGCUACGGGAGGCAGCAGUGAGGAAUAUUGCACAGUGGGCGCAAGCCUGAUGCAGCGACGCCGCGUGAGGGAUGGAGGCCUUCGGGUUGUGAACCUCUUUCGCCAGUGAAGCAGGCCUGCCUCGUUUGUGGGUGGGUUGACGGUAGCUGGAUAAGAAGCGCCGGCUAACUACGUG
Molecule: ribosomal RNA, 494 nt
Filed under: uncultured bacterium
Lineage: Bacteria
Description: partial 16S ribosomal RNA
Rfam family: Bacterial small subunit ribosomal RNA
Source: RNAcentral